AACGAACGCUGGCGGCAUGCCUAACACAUGCAAGUCGAACGAGACCUUCGGGUCUAGUGGCGCACGGGUGCGUAACGCGUGGGAACCUGCCCUUAGGUUCGGAAUAACUCCCCGAAAGGGGUGCUAAUACCGGAUAAUGUCUUCGGACCAAAGAUUUAUCGCCUUUGGAUGGGCCCGCGUUGGAUUAGCUAGUUGGUAGGGUAAAAGCCUACCAAGGCGACGAUCCAUAGCUGGUCUGAGAGGAUGAUCAGCCACACUGGGACUGAGACACGGCCCAGACUCCUACGGGAGGCAGCAGUGGGGAAUAUUGGACAAUGGGCGAAAGCCUGAUCCAGCAAUGCCGCGGGAGUGAUGAAGGCCUUAGGGUUGUAAAGCUCUUUUACCCGGGAUGAUAAUGACAGUACCGGGAGAAUAAGCGCCGGCUAACUCCGU
RNAcentral lists this ribosomal RNA (432 nucleotides) under uncultured bacterium. RNAcentral describes it as "partial 16S ribosomal RNA". It matches the Rfam family "Bacterial small subunit ribosomal RNA", at positions 29 to 506 of the family's 1533-position model. The record is from RNAcentral.